UAAACGACUCUCGGCAACGGAUAUCUCGGCUCUCGCAUCGAUGAAGAACGUAGCAAAAUGCGAUACUUGGUGUGAAUUGCAGAAUCCCGUGAACCAUCGAGUCUUUGAACGCAAGUUGCGCCCGAAGCCUUUUGGCCGAGGGCACGUCUGCCUGGGCGUCACGC
This 164-nucleotide ribosomal RNA is filed under the name Carpanthea pomeridiana. Its description in RNAcentral is "5.8S ribosomal RNA". It matches the Rfam family "5.8S ribosomal RNA". Rfam says of the family: 5.8S ribosomal RNA (5.8S rRNA) is a component of the large subunit of the eukaryotic ribosome. It is transcribed by RNA polymerase I as part of the 45S precursor that also contains 18S and 28S rRNA. The record is from RNAcentral. Lineage: Eukaryota; Viridiplantae; Streptophyta; Magnoliopsida; Caryophyllales; Aizoaceae.